Molecule: long non-coding RNA, 290 nt
Filed under: Cyanistes caeruleus (blue tit)
Lineage: Eukaryota; Metazoa; Chordata; Aves; Passeriformes; Paridae
Description: lncRNA (ENSCCEG00000010057.1)
Source: RNAcentral
CCAGAUUAUCCUUUGGCCAUUUCUACUUUACGUUUUCAGGGUGAAGAAAGAAAAGGAAGGGAAAAUAAGAAUGUAUAAGAAAAAUAGAAGUUAGUGAGAAAAAAGAAAUGCGGAAAUAAGAGAUUAAAAGAUAAAUGAUACUGAGAUCAAGAGGAUUUAGUCAGAGAUCUCACUUUGUCACUUGUGAUCCAGAGAUGAUGGGUAGAAGAGACACAAGAAAACAGAAAAUACAAAAAAUAAUUAUAUGCUUCAAGAAAAUAACAUUGAAGUUCAUAGUGAGUUAUCACUGA